This 492-nucleotide ribosomal RNA is filed under the name uncultured bacterium. Its description in RNAcentral is "partial 16S ribosomal RNA". It matches the Rfam family "Bacterial small subunit ribosomal RNA", at positions 29 to 507 of the family's 1533-position model. The record is from RNAcentral.
AGUGAACGCUGGCGGUAGGCCUAACACAUGCAAGUCGAACGGCAGCACAGUAAGAGCUUGCUCUUACGGGUGGCGAGUGGCGGACGGGUGAGGAAUACAUCGGAAUCUACUUUUUCGUGGGGGAUAACGUAGGGAAACUUACGCUAAUACCGCAUACGACCUACGGGUGAAAGCAGUGGUUCUUCGGACCUUGCGCGUUUGAAUGAGCCGAUGUCGGAUUAGCUAGUUGGCGGGGUAAAGGCCCACCAAGGCGACGAUCCGUAGCUGGUCUGAGAGGAUGAUCAGCCACACUGGAACUGAGACACGGUCCAGACUCCUACGGGAGGCAGCAGUGGGGAAUAUUGGACAAUGGGCGCAAGCCUGAUCCAGCCAUACCGCGUGGGUGAAGAAGGCCUUCGGGUUGUAAAGCCCUUUUGUUGGGAAAGAAAAGCAGCAGGUUAAUACCCCGCUGUUCUGACGGUACCCAAAGAAUAAGCACCGGCUAACUUCGUG